Molecule: ribosomal RNA, 253 nt
Filed under: uncultured bacterium
Lineage: Bacteria
Description: partial 16S ribosomal RNA
Rfam family: Bacterial small subunit ribosomal RNA
Source: RNAcentral
UACGUAGGGUGCAAGCGUUAAUCGGAAUUACUGGGCGUAAAGCGUGCGCAGGCGGUUUUGUAAGACAGGCGUGAAAUCCCCGGGCUCAACCUGGGAAUUGCGCUUGUGACUGCAAAGCUGGAGUGCGGCAGAGGGGGAUGGAGUUCCGCGUGUAGCAGUGAAAUGCGUAGAUAUGCGGAGGAACACCGAUGGCGAAGGCAAUCCCCUGGGCCUGCACUGACGCUCAUGCACGAAAGCGUGGGGAGCAAACAGG